AAGACCUCAAGUUUUUUUAAUUUUACUGUUCGCGUCGCGCUGAGAGGAAUAAGACAGAAUUCACCUGAAGAAGCUUUGGAUUAUCUCAGGAAAAAACAUUG
Sinocyclocheilus grahami is the source of this 101-nucleotide long non-coding RNA. RefSeq lists it as uncharacterized. The transcript is spliced from 3 exons. Lineage: Eukaryota; Metazoa; Chordata; Actinopteri; Cypriniformes; Cyprinidae. The record is from RefSeq and is a predicted model, not a curated record.